This 253-nucleotide ribosomal RNA is filed under the name uncultured bacterium. RNAcentral's name for it is "partial 16S ribosomal RNA". It matches the Rfam family "Bacterial small subunit ribosomal RNA", at positions 524 to 776 of the family's 1533-position model. The record is from RNAcentral.
UACAGAGGUCUCAACCGUUGUUCGGAUUCAUUGGGCGUAAAGGGUGCGUAGGCGGUCGCGCAAGUCGGAUGUGAAAUCUCAGGGCUCAACCCUGAAACUGCAUUCGAUACUGCGUGGCUCGAGUACUGGAGAGGAGACUGGAAUUUACGGUGUAGCAGUGAAAUGCGUAGAUAUCGUAAGGAAGACCAGUGGCGAAGGCGAGUCUCUGGAAAGUUACUGACGCUGAGGCACGAAGGCCAGGGGAGCAAACGGG